ACCAGACUCCUACGGGAGGCAGCAGUGGGGAAUACUGCACAAUGGGGGAAACCCUGAUGCAGCGACGCCGCGUGAGCGAUGAAGUAUUUCGGUAUGUAAAGCUCUAUCAGCAGGGAAGAAAAUGAUGGUACCUGACUAAGAAGCCCCGGCUAACUACGUGCCAGCAGCCGCGGUAAUACGUAGGGGGCAAGCGUUAUCCGGAUUCACUGGGUGUAAAGGGAGCGUAGACGGCGGCGCAAGCCAGAUGUGAAAGCCCGGGGCUCAACCCCGGGACUGCAUUUGGAACUGGGUGUCUUGAGGGCAGGAGAGGAAAGUGGAAUUCCUAGUGUAGCGGUGAAAUGCGUAGAUAUUAGGAGGAACACCAGUGGCGAAGGCGGCUUACUGGACUGUAACUGACGUUGAGGCUCGAAAGCGUGGGGAGCAAACAGGAUUAGAUACCCCAGUA
This 445-nucleotide ribosomal RNA is filed under the name uncultured bacterium. RNAcentral's name for it is "partial 16S ribosomal RNA". It matches the Rfam family "Bacterial small subunit ribosomal RNA", at positions 330 to 792 of the family's 1533-position model. The record is from RNAcentral.